This 507-nucleotide ribosomal RNA is filed under the name uncultured Basidiomycota. RNAcentral describes it as "SSU rRNA". It matches the Rfam family "Eukaryotic small subunit ribosomal RNA", at positions 569 to 1082 of the family's 1831-position model. The record is from RNAcentral. Lineage: Eukaryota; Fungi; Basidiomycota.
AGCAGCCGCGGUAAUUCCAGCUCCAAUAGCGUAUAUUAAAGUUGUUGCAGUUAAAAAGCCCGUAGUUGAACUUCAGGCCUGGCUGGGCGGUCCGCCUCACGGUGAGUACUGUCUGGCUGAGUCUUACCUCUUGGUGAGCCGGCAUGCCCUUUACUGGGUGUGUCGGGGAACCAGGACAUUUACCUUGAGAAAAUUAGAGUGUUCAAAGCAGGCAUUUGCUCGAAUACAUUAGCAUGGAAUAAUAGAAUAGGACGUGCGGUUCUAUUUUGUUGGUUUCUAGAGUCGCCGUAAUGAUUAAUAGGGAUAGUUGGGGGCAUUUGUAUUGCGUUGCUAGAGGUGAAAUUCUUGGAUUUACGCAAGACAAACUACUGCGAAAGCAUUUGCCAAGGAUGUUUUCAUUAAUCAAGGACGAAGGUUAGGGGAUCGAAAACGAUCAGAUACCGUUGUAGUCUUAACAGUAAACUAUGCCGACUAGGGAUCGGACGACCUCAAUUUAUGUGUCGUUCG